ACCUGGGUGGCUUAGUCGGUUAAGCACCUGACUUCGGGUCAGGUCAUAAUCUCGCAUUUGUGAGUUCCAGCCCCACAUCAGGCU
RNAcentral lists this transfer RNA (84 nucleotides) under Felis catus (domestic cat). It matches the Rfam family "tRNA". From Rfam's summary of the family: Transfer RNA (tRNA) molecules are approximately 80 nucleotides in length. Their secondary structure includes four short double-helical elements and three loops (D, anti-codon, and T loops). Further hydrogen bonds mediate the characteristic L-shaped molecular structure. tRNAs have two regions of fundamental functional importance: the anti-codon, which is responsible for specific mRNA codon recognition, and the 3' end, to which the tRNAs corresponding amino acid is attached (by aminoacyl-tRNA synthetases). tRNAs cope with the degeneracy of the genetic code in two manners: having more than one tRNA (with a specific anti-codon) for a particular amino acid; and 'wobble' base-pairing, i.e. permitting non-standard base-pairing at the 3rd anti-codon position. RNAcentral also lists the same sequence under 1 other name. The record is from Rfam by way of RNAcentral. Lineage: Eukaryota; Metazoa; Chordata; Mammalia; Carnivora; Felidae.